RNAcentral lists this ribosomal RNA (1505 nucleotides) under uncultured prokaryote. Its description in RNAcentral is "partial 16S ribosomal RNA". It matches the Rfam family "Bacterial small subunit ribosomal RNA". The record is from RNAcentral.
AGAGUUUGAUCAUGGCUCAGAUUGAACGCUGGCGGUAUGCUUAACACAUGCAAGUCGAACGGAAACGAUAGUAGCUUGCUACUAGGCGUCGAGUGGCGGACGGGUGAGUAAUGCAUAGGAAUCUGCCCUUUAGCGGGGGACAACUUGGGGAAACUCAAGCUAAUACCGCAUAAUACCCACGGGUUAAAGGUGGCCUCUUCUAGAAAGCUAUCGCUAAAGGAUGAGCCUAUGUUGGAUUAGCUAGUUGGUAAGGUAAAAGCUUACCAAGGCGACGAUCCAUAGCUGGUCUGAGAGGACGAUCAGCCACACUGGGACUGAGACACGGCCCAGACUCCUACGGGAGGCAGCAGUGGGGAAUAUUGGACAAUGGGCGCAAGCCUGAUCCAGCAAUACCGCGUGUGUGAAGAAGGCCUGAGGGUUGUAAAGCACUUUCAAUUGUGAAGAAAAGCUUUAGGUUAAUAACCUAGGGUCUUGACGUUAACUUUAGAAGAAGCACCGGCUAACUCUGUGCCAGCAGCCGCGGUAAUACAGAGGGUGCGAGCGUUAAUCGGAAUUACUGGGCGUAAAGAGUACGUAGGCGGUUUAGUAAGUCAGAUGUGAAAGCCCUGGGCUCAACCUAGGAACUGCAUUUGAUACUGGAUACCUAGAGUAUGGGAGGGGGAGAUGGAAUUAGUGGUGUAGGGGUAAAAUCCGUAGAUAUCACUAGGAAUACCGAAAGCGAAGGCGAUCUCCUGGAACAUUACUGACGCUAAGGCGUGAAAGCGUGGGGAGCAAACGGGAUUAGAUACCCCGGUAGUCCACGCCCUAAACGAUGAACACUAGUCGUCGGGAUGCUUGUCAUCUCGGUGAUGCACUUAACAGAUUAAGUGUUCCGCCUGGGGAGUACGGUCGCAAGAUUAAAACUCAAAGGAAUAGACGGGGACCCGCACAAGUGGUGGAGCAUGUGGUUUAAUUCGAAAAUACGCGAAGAACCUUACCUAGCCUUUACAUUGAUUGAACGGACCAGAGAUGGACCCGUGUGCCUUCGGGAACUCUGUGACAGGUGCUGCAUGGCUGUCGUCAGCUCGUGUUGUGAAAUGUUGGGUUAAGUCCCGCAACGAGCGCAACCCCUAUCCUUAUUUGCCAGCGCGUAGUGGCGGGAACUCUAAGGAGACUGCCGGUAUAAACCGGAGGAAGGUGGGGACGACGUCAAGUCAUCAUGGCCCUUACGGGAUGGGCUACACACGUGCUACAAUGGCAGGUACAGAGGGCAGCAAAGCCGCGAGGUUGAGCGAAUCCCACAAAGCUUGUCGUAGUCCGGAUCGGAGUCUGCAACUCGACUCCGUGAAGUCGGAAUCGCUAGUAAUCGUAGAUCAGAAUGCUACGGUGAAUACGUUCCCGGGCCUUGUACACACCGCCCGUCACACCAUGGGAGUGGGUUGCAAAAGAAGUGGCUAGUCUAACCUUCGGGAGGACGGUCACCACUUUGUGAUUCAUGACUGGGGUGAAGUCGAAACAAGGUAACC